This 672-nucleotide long non-coding RNA is filed under the name Rattus norvegicus (Norway rat). Its description in RNAcentral is "long non-coding RNA NONRATT018574". The record is from RNAcentral. Lineage: Eukaryota; Metazoa; Chordata; Mammalia; Rodentia; Muridae.
UAAACUCAAAAUCACCCAUUCCUACUGUGUGUGUUAGAACCCACUGAAACGGAAAGGGAGCAUCCUGGUCCAGAAGUAGGGUUCAUGUUCAUACUGCAUCUUUGCACAAAUUACAGGCCCGGCAUGGGAGGGGCAAGACAGUGCCCUCUCUCUGAGAGCAUGCAGCCCCGUUAGAGUGGAAGCCCUGCAAGGCUAGCAUUCUUCUCCUCCUGAGGACUGUGUGAUACUCUACUCGUGGCUCCUGCCUCUCCUCACUCUGCAAAGCCCACAGGACCAUAGAACGAGAGGGAAAGAGACACGACGAGUUUCCGGAUGAGCGCUGGAUGCUUUGUGAGCUGUAAGAGUCAUGAGGUCACUCCAACCCUGCUUUCCGUCCUUCAGUCACCCAUUCGGUACCCAUCAGGAUAUGCUAGGUACCACUGUGCAUCCCAAAAGGGCAUCAUAUGAUGCAAGAUGCAGGCUUUCCUGGGUCCACAGCAACAUCAAAAAGAGCAAACCAGACAUGCAAAGAAAGCGAUUUUAACACGAGACAGAUGUGCAACUGAGUAACACGAUCAGGUGAUGCCAGCCACAUAAACAUGUUUUGAAAAUGUGUAUUUUAUUUCUUAUACAUGUACAUUUGUUUUCAUCAAAAAUAAAGAUCAAAUCAAAUUUCAAAGAGAUAUAAAACCC